GUGCCAGCAGCCGCGGUAAUACGUAGGUGGCAAGCGUUGUCCGGAUUUAUUGGGUGUAAAGGGAGCGCAGGCGGUGACUUAAGUCUGAUGUGAAAGCCCACGGCUCAACCGUGGAAGGUCAUUGGAAACUGGGUCACUUGAGUGCAGAAGAGGAAAGUGGAAUUCCAUGUGUAGCGGUGAAAUGCGUAGAUAUAUGGAGGAACACCAGUGGCGAAGGCGACUUUCUGGUCUGUAACUGACGCUGAGGCUCGAAAGCGUGGGGAGCAAACAGGAUUAGAU
Molecule: ribosomal RNA, 279 nt
Filed under: uncultured Facklamia sp.
Lineage: Bacteria; Bacillati; Bacillota; Bacilli; Lactobacillales; Aerococcaceae
Description: partial 16S ribosomal RNA
Rfam family: Bacterial small subunit ribosomal RNA
Source: RNAcentral